RNAcentral lists this ribosomal RNA (624 nucleotides) under Streptomyces prasinosporus. Its description in RNAcentral is "bacterial SSU rRNA". It matches the Rfam family "Bacterial small subunit ribosomal RNA", at positions 74 to 714 of the family's 1533-position model. The record is from RNAcentral. Lineage: Bacteria; Bacillati; Actinomycetota; Actinomycetes; Kitasatosporales; Streptomycetaceae.
ACCACUUCGGUGGGGAUUAGUGGCGAACGGGUGAGUAACACGUGGGCAAUCUGCCCUGCACUCUGGGACAAGCCCUGGAAACGGGGUCUAAUACCGGAUAUGAGCUUCCGCCGCAUGGCGGGGGCUGUAAAGCUCCGGCGGUGCAGGAUGAGCCCGCGGCCUAUCAGCUUGUUGGUGAGGUAACGGCUCACCAAGGCGACGACGGGUAGCCGGCCUGAGAGGGCGACCGGCCACACUGGGACUGAGACACGGCCCAGACUCCUACGGGAGGCAGCAGUGGGGAAUAUUGCACAAUGGGCGCAAGCCUGAUGCAGCGACGCCGCGUGAGGGAUGACGGCCUUCGGGUUGUAAACCUCUUUCAGCAGGGAAGAAGCGCAAGUGACGGUACCUGCAGAAGAAGCGCCGGCUAACUACGUGCCAGCAGCCGCGGUAAUACGUAGGGCGCGAGCGUUGUCCGGAAUUAUUGGGCGUAAAGAGCUCGUAGGCGGCUUGUCGCGUCGGUUGUGAAAGCCCGGGGCUUAACCCCGGGUCUGCAGUCGAUACGGGCAGGCUAGAGUUCGGUAGGGGAGAUCGGAAUUCCUGGUGUAGCGGUGAAAUGCGCAGAUAUCAGGAGGAACACCGGUG